CUGGUUGAUCCUGCCAGUAGUCAUAUGCUUGUCUCAAAGAUUAAGCCAUGCAUGUCUAAGUAUAAGUUCUGUACUGCGAAACUGUGAAUGGCUCAUUAUAACAGUUAUUAUUCCCUGGCCGGUCAGUGAUUCCUUGGAUACCCAUGGUAAUUCUAGAGCUAAUACAUGCUUAAAAACCCGACUUCUUGAAGGGUUGCGCUUAUUAGAUACCGAACCAACCCAGGCUCCGUCUGGUUUUCGUUGAUUCAUAGUGUUCUGGCGAAUCGACUUGCAAGAGUCGAUGAGGCUAUCAAGUUUCUGACCUAUCAGCUUCCGACGGUAGGAUAUUGGCCUACCGUGGCUUUGACGGGUAACGGAGAAUUAGGGUUCGAUUCCGGAGAGGGAGCCUGAGAAACGGCUACCACAUCUAAGGAAGGCAGCAGGCGCGUAAAUUACCCAAUCCUGACACAGGGAGGUAGUGACAAGAAAUAUCAAUAUAAGACGUUUCUGUCUUGUAAUUGGGAUGAGCGAAACAUAAACCGCUUCUCGAGUAUCAAUUGGAGGGCAAGUCUGGU
Molecule: ribosomal RNA, 554 nt
Filed under: uncultured eukaryote
Lineage: Eukaryota
Description: SSU rRNA
Rfam family: Eukaryotic small subunit ribosomal RNA
Source: RNAcentral